This 5518-nucleotide long non-coding RNA is filed under the name Sus scrofa (pig). RNAcentral describes it as "lncRNA (ENSSSCG00065062731.1)". Lineage: Eukaryota; Metazoa; Chordata; Mammalia; Artiodactyla; Suidae. The record is from RNAcentral.
UACAUAAUAGUUGCGUCAUUUCUCACCAGAACAACAUGGCGGCUAGGUGGAAAGAGCCUGAGUUACUCCAUUUUCUCCACAGAUUGAAAAACCAGAACUCUGGCCCCACUACAGUCUCAGACUUCUUAGUUCACUGACUCCGCCUCGAUCACACCAGAGCUAAAUUUAUUAAAUUCCCCAUGCUGAGCUACCAUCCAAAUGAGAUAUAUCCACAAGUCAAACAGGAAGAGAAUUGAUCACAAGUCUUUGAAGCCUAUUCAGCCAUGGUUCUCAAAAAUUUUAGUCUGUAGCACUUGGCAGAUCAAUGAUUUAAAAAGAUGCAAAGACUCUAACAUCUCAGCAAUAAUGUAAUCACUCUAUAGUUAGAAUCUUUACCCUCUAGUAUUUCCUUCCUGGUAACAGGCAGGUGUACAUUCUGGCCAAUCACACCAGCAAGAGACAUGACAGAUAUCAUAACAAAGACAUUCUUGGCUGACUCAGUCUCUUAUUUACUGCCUCAGCUCUUUCUUCCCCCAAAAUACUCACUCUUUCUCCUCUGUUUGAAACCCUCUCAAACUCCCCAGAGAUCCUUCAAAAUGAAACUGAGACCAACCAUAAGUUGCCCUGCCUUUAGCUACAUUUUCCUUUAUUUGCAUGUUGCUUUAUUUAUUACAGGUUGAUGGAUGAAGGGGAGAUGGAGGCUGCCCAUGACCAGGUGGAGGAAGAGUGAUGUCAGAACAGUUUUAGACAGUUUACUUUGCUCCACUUGGAAGAAUCCCAAGUGGGUUUUUUUUGUUUUUGUUGUGGUUUUUUGGUUUUUUUUUUUGACUCAUCUACUUUUUAUGAUCACAAGAAUGUAUACUCUAGAGUUCUUCCCCUUGUCUCCUGUACCUUCAUAUACUUUAUUGACUAAGAUAUGGUCUCUUAAAUCCACUAAUGAAAUGCCUUCCAUUCUACUAUAUUUCCAUUAUAUGCUGAUAAUUUCCAAGCAUAAAUAACAAUAAACCUCUUGCAUAAAUAUAUUUUAUAUGUGCAUUACUCUCACAAUAGAUUUCCUUUCUAAUUAUAAUUGUAAUAUAAUGUUACAUGGAUCCCUAGUCAUCUUCAGUUAGCUAUCUUAGUUGUCAUUUGAGAGGAUGAUUUUGUGCCCUGACCACAUUUUCUUAGGUACUCAAGAGGCAAAAUUCUCAUGCAUCACAGUAAACUCACCAGCUUUAUUUGGCAUUAUUUGGUCUUAAAAUAUGCUUCUAACUUCUUAAUUGCAUGAUAAAUUUUAACCCAUUCUGGAUGGUCAAAUAACCCAUUCAGUAAAUUUUCUAUCUGACACAUAAUCUUCACAGUAACUGUUACUAAACAAAAGUUUGUAUAUUGAUGAAAAAUUAAAGAAUUUACUCUCACCUGUUAAGAACCACUGACUUAGAGUUUCUUAGCUAGGUAUUAGGAAAAGCUUAUAGCCUUUACCAACAGUAAUGUACUAACAAGUAAUGCCAUUCUCCUCCUAUCCAAUAAUUCUCACCACUCCAGGUGUGUUUAGUUAUUAAUUAAAAUACAUGUAGGUUAAGUUUAGGUGUAUAUUUUGAAUAGGGCUACUUCUAAAUGAAAUCACUUCUUCUGAAUAGAUAGAUCUAUCAAUAGAUCUGAUUCCAAAGUAAUACCAUAGGGUUCUUCCUUGAUAGCCUCUAAUACAAAAUUUUAUCACCCUUCUUCUACAGUGAAAGCUCUGAUUCCUAACACUAACAUGUUUAUUCAUUUGUUUAGUUUAUAAUAUACACAAAAUGGUUUUAGAACUAUUACAGUUCUACCAUCAUGACAAAUCUUCUAAGUAAAUAUAAGAUUCUCCUAUGGCCCUACUUGCCCUUAUAAUAUGACCCCUUUUCUAUAGUCCUCAUAAGGUGUUGACAAUCACUCCAACUUCACAGUUCUUUCAAAACAAGGUCCUCUCAAAUUAUAACAAUAUUUGUAUGACCUUAUAUUCCAACAGAGUUUUACAUAUGACAACAUUGGUUAUGUAUCUGACAAUGGCAUGCAGAACAUCUGCUUUUGUGGUUAUUCAUAAACUCAUGGUGUCAGGUAUAGGAGAAAGCCUCAUUCAUCUUCAUCAAGUCUGUACCUAGGGAACCAGAGUAAUGAACCAUCAGGAACUGAAACUACAAGUUUCUUUGCCUACACCUUACAGAGGUUUAUUCAAGCCCAUCAGAUUAAGGGCCAGGCUUUCUCUGUAUGACUAACUUUACUUAUUAUGGUAAUUUCUAGGUCCAUCCAUGUUACUGCACAUGGCAUUAUUUUCCUUCUUUUUUAUGUCUGAGUAAUAUUCCAAGACAAACAUCAUAUGAUAUCACUUACAUGUGGAAUCUUAAAAAAGGAUAAAAAUGAACUUAUCUUCAGAACAUAAAUAGACUCACAGAUUUUGAAAAACUUAUGGUUACCAAAGGGAAUAGAUUGGGGGUGGGUAGAGAUGGACUGGGUGUUUGGGACUGGCAUUUGCACACUGAGAUAUAUAGAUGAUUGGCCAAUGGGGACAUGCUGUAUAGCAGAGAGACCUCUACCCAAUAUUGUGAUAGUCUGUGGGAAAAGAAUCUGAAAGAGAAUGGAUGUAUGUAUAUGCAAAUUUUAAAAAUACCAUGUUCAAGUAGAGUGCAAAGAGUCACACAAAGAAGCAAAUUGCGUAUCAUGUUCAAGGUCAAGUGCAAGAAAAAGAACAGAGCAUAAAACCAAAAGUUCGGGAGUCAGAUAAAUGCAGACUGAGCAGAAUGUAGAAAAGUAGCAAGGUUCCAGGACUUUUGUUGUGUGUUUGGUACAUGUUGUGUGGAUGUAUUGGCCCAAGCUAAAGUUACAGUAUGGGAAGAGCUCAUUUUUCCAGACAUUGAUGAUAUUUCUAUGAAUAUCACACAAAUGAUGUUAUGAUUCUCCAAGAACCUACUUAUAGGAAAAAAGAAUCAAGAACAUACACAAUAUAGGAAAAAUUAUAAGGUCCAGUUUUCUAAUAUUAUAAGCCAUAUUUGAUUUCUGAAUAGAAGUUAUUAUACACACACACUUCAAUCAAGGAUUUGCUCUAAUAAAAAGGAGGUUGCAAGGAAAUGAUAUGUCUUUCCAGCUUUAUCAUUAAUGUAAGCUUAUUUUUUUUUCACAAUUGGUAUAAACAUUUAGCUAUUUUUACGUUUGUCACAUACCUAGUGUUUACACUACUGAAAAAUGACAGAGCCCCAACUCCUAUAAACGACUUGAUAGUUUUUUUCUAAUUCCAAAUGCAACUGAGAAAUGAAAAUUGAAAGUAAUUUUUUGCUUUUUAAAAAAUAUGUUCUUAUAGAUACCUAGCAAAUAUUGAUAGAAGUUUCAUAUACAAUCUAUUGCUCAUUACCUACCUUUAACAGAAUACUGGCACACUCUAUUUUCUAUAUUAAUUUCUCUAAGUAAAUGGAUUUUUACAUAAGGGAAGAAUCAGAUUAGGAUCUUUGAUGUAUUAUCUAGUUAGCAUAAUUUAGAGAAAUUGGAGUAUUCAUGACCCAAGGUACAAAUCUUGAGGCAAAAAUUUUUGCCUGAAAUUAGUAUUUAAGUAAAGAUAGAAAUAUAAUAAAACAAAGACUCAUUAUGUAUUUGUAGUAAUUUUGCAGUUUCUUUUUAUCACUUAAGCAACUGUGACUUCCUUUGGACAUCACUUUUUCCUGUUUCCAACUAAAUAAAUAUUGAUUUAAAAAUAUUCUGCCUCCUACUUUUGUGGCUGCUUUUGUAAUUCCAAAUGAAACAUUCUUCCACAAAAUUUUAUCAAUACCUCUACCAAAAAAAAAAAAAUAGAACUUUGGGUAAUAUCCUUUUUCUUCUGAUUUAAAUUAAUGUUUUAACAGCAUCUACUUAGUUCAAAUAUUCUUAUUACUAUAAAACAAUGGUAACUGUGUGAGGUGAUGUAUGUGUUAACUUGAUUGUGAUAAUCAUUUCACAAUGUAUACACAUAUUAAAGCAUUACACUGUACACCAUGAAAUAAUCAUAGACAACCUAAUGCAAAAAAAAAAAAAAAGAAGAAGAAGAAGAAGUCACAGAAAUUCACAAGAAUCACAGGAGGGCUUUCACAAACAAUAAAACUGGAGGUUCGGGACACAUUCAGCCAGAUUUCUAUAAGAUAGAGGCUCCAGAUAACAUCCGUAUUAUGGACUUUUGUGAGACAUAUUUCCUAUCAUGAUAACCCAAGCUGGACCCUUAAUUCCCCUAUUUAGUGGCUUGAUUCAAAUCCAAACUUGCUGUUUCUAACUUUAAAGUAAACAUCAGUAUUCCAGAGGUCAACAUCCUUUUUUCUGAUAGUGAGUUGUGGCCCAAAGGUUAGCCUUGGAUGAAAACAGAAAGUGAAAGGAUGGAUGGAGUGGAGAAGAACAAUUUCAAACACCUUUCAACAGGGUCCUUGAAAUCUAUCCCCACUUUACUAGACACUCAUUGUUUUCUUAAAGAAGUGAAUCCCAAAUCUAAAAACUUCACUUGGUUUUAAGCAGAAUUUAUUUAACAAUAUUUCUGCAAUCAGGAGGAAAAAGCCAACCAACACUAGUGAAGUGAAAGUGUAAGAGUUGUAGUAUUGGAUGACAUCCCUGAGUAAAUGAAUUUAGAUAACUGCCUCUGGGUUUCCUAUUAUAUGACCAAAAUAAACCCAUACUUUAGCAGCUCUUGUCCAUAUUUUUUGUUUCUAGCAAUCAAAAGAAAUCCUCAAUGAUACACAUGGAAGAGAUGAAAAACUGAAGAGUGAAACAAAGAUGUUUUUUGAAUUUAGAAAAUCUUCUUGGAGAAGAAAACUACUGUGAAUGUUGUGAAUGAGGUCCCCAUAAGAAUACACCUGUGCCGUGUGCCAUGAUCAAGAUACAAAAAGGAAUCAAGGGAAAAAGGGAACACUAAAGUCAGUGAAAAUCUCACUCAGUGAAAUGCCAUUUUUAUAAAGAGUACUUGACCUUCAAGAGCCAGUGUUUUCAAAGUUUUUAAGAGUUUGUAAACCACUCAGAUAAAUUCCCUUUCAAAGGAAAUAGCCCUUAUAUUGGAAGGGCUCAUUCACAAAAGAGAAUAAAAAUAGCACUUGGGUGAAGACUGGAAGAAGAGAAAAGCCACAGGUAUGUCUUUGGAUGGGCUAGAGAUUACAGCAGCAAUGUUUUUAAAUGGCAAGAAGAAAGUGAUACCGAAUACUCAUGUUAAAUAUCUGAUAGUGAAAUCCCCUUAGAGUCUUAAAAAGAAGGAAAGAAAAUGCUUUUACAGGACCCAAAGAUUUCUUACUUUUUCAAGAAUUAUUCAAAUUACUCCUUUAUUAAAAAAAAAAAUUCUUAAGAAACUCUCUAGUCAGGAAGCCAAAAAGUAAAAUGUAAUAAAUGUAUUUUGAGAGUGUGUAUAAGCAAAAACAUUUAGUAAAGUACCACGAAUUAAUACCAUCACACAUUCUAGCAAGUAGAUCUCAGUGUACUCAUCUGUAAAAAGGGAAAAGGAAUCUGAAAAAGAUAAUACCUAAGGCCCACAGCAAUCCUAAAAUUCUAAAAUAAUAUACAUUCUUAUUACAUAAGAAAUAUAUACUCAGUA